AAGGCAACACGUGCUGUCGCGCAAAAUUGCGAGGAAAGUCUGGACAACCGAAACCGCCAUACUUCCUAACGGGAAGGUGCGCACGGGGGGACUUGUGCGUAACAGAAAGUGCCACAGAAAAUAUACCGCCGUUGCAUUGCAAAGGUAAGGGUGAAAACGUAGGGUAAGAGCCUACGCACACGUUUGGUGACAGGCGAGUGAGGUAAACCUUAUGGGUUGAAAGAACAAAUAUAUCGUCAGUGAGUGGCUUUGGUUACUCAAUAGAAUAGGUUUCUUCUUUGGCGAGGGGUAGUUCGAUAGAGCGGAACAGCGAUGUUCCGUCGAGAUAAAUGACAGCAGUCAGCUUUUACAGCAGUCACAGAAUCCGGCUUACAGUGUUGCCUUUUUU
Molecule: RNase P RNA, 388 nt
Filed under: Bacteroidales bacterium
Lineage: Bacteria; Pseudomonadati; Bacteroidota; Bacteroidia; Bacteroidales
Description: RNase P RNA component class A
Rfam family: Bacterial RNase P class A
About the family: Ribonuclease P (RNase P) is a ubiquitous endoribonuclease, found in archaea, bacteria and eukarya as well as chloroplasts and mitochondria. Its best characterised activity is the generation of mature 5'-ends of tRNAs by cleaving the 5'-leader elements of precursor-tRNAs.
Source: RNAcentral